RNAcentral lists this ribosomal RNA (327 nucleotides) under Macrosiphum rosae (rose aphid). RNAcentral's name for it is "partial 12S ribosomal RNA". Lineage: Eukaryota; Metazoa; Arthropoda; Insecta; Hemiptera; Aphididae. The record is from RNAcentral.
UAGAUACCCUAUUAUAAAAAUUUAAAUUAAUUUACUAAAAAAUUAAUAGUUAAGUUCUUUAAAUUUAAAAAAUUUGGCGGUAUUUUAGUCUUAUUAGAGGAACCUGUUUUUUAAUUGAUAAUCCACGAUUAAUUUUACUUAUUUUAUAUAGUUCAUAUAUCGCUGUCAUGAAUAUAUUUAAAAAUUUAUUUUCUUUAUUUAUUAUUAUAAUUUAUGUUAAGUCAAGAUGUGGUUGAUAAAUAAGUUUAUAAUGGGUUACAUUAAAUUUUAUUUUUGGAUUUUAAAUGAAAAUUAUAAUGAAAUUGGAUUUAAUAGUAAGUUUAUUUA